RNAcentral lists this ribosomal RNA (492 nucleotides) under uncultured bacterium. RNAcentral describes it as "partial 16S ribosomal RNA". It matches the Rfam family "Bacterial small subunit ribosomal RNA", at positions 29 to 507 of the family's 1533-position model. The record is from RNAcentral.
AGUGAACGCUGGCGGUAGGCCUAACACAUGCAAGUCGAACGGCAGCACAGUAAGAGCUUGCUCUUACGGGUGGCGAGUGGCGGACGGGUGAGGAAUACAUCGGAAUCUACUUUUUCGUGGGGGAUAACGUAGGGAAACUUACGCUAAUACCGCAUACGACCUACGGGUGAAAGCAGGGGAUCUUCGGACCUUGCGCGAUUGAAUGAGCCGAUGUCGGAUUAGCUAGUUGGCGGGGUAAAGGCCCACCAAGGCGACGAUCCGUAGCUGGUCUGAGAGGAUGAUCGGCCACAUGGGAACGGGGACACGGUCCAGAGGACUAAGGGAGGCAGCAGUGGGGAAUAUUGGGCAAUGGGCGCAAGCCUGAUACAGCCAUACCGCGUGGGUGAAGAAGGCGUUCGGUUUGUAAAGACGUUUUGUUGGGAAAGAAAAGCAGCAGGUUAAUACCCAGCUGUACUGACGGUACCCAAAGAAUAAGCACCGGCUAACUUCGUG